This 428-nucleotide ribosomal RNA is filed under the name Bacteroidota bacterium. RNAcentral describes it as "Bacteroidetes bacterium partial 16S ribosomal RNA". It matches the Rfam family "Bacterial small subunit ribosomal RNA", at positions 355 to 776 of the family's 1533-position model. Lineage: Bacteria; Pseudomonadati; Bacteroidota. The record is from RNAcentral.
UAGGGAAUCUUCCGCAAUGGACGCAAGUCUGACGGAGCAACGCCGCGUGAGUGAAGAAGGAUUUCGGUUCGUAAAACUCUGUUGUUAGAGAAGAACAGCGCAUAGAGUAACUGUUAUGCGUGUGACGGUAUCUAACCAGAAAGCCACGGCUAACUACGUGCCAGCAGCCGCGGUAAUACGUAGGUGGCAAGCGUUGUCCGGAUUUAUUGGGCGUAAAGCGAGCGCAGGCGGUCAAUUAAGUCUGAAGUUAAAGGCAGUGGCUCAACCAUUGUAGGCUUUGGAAACUGUUUAACUUGAGUGCAGAAGGUGCGAGUGGAAUUCCAUGUGUAGCGGUUACAUGCGUAGAUAUAUGGAGGAACACCGGUGGCGAAAGCGGCUCUCUGGUCUGUAACUGACGCUGAGGCUCGAAAGCGUGGGGAGCGAACAGG